UACGUAGGGUGCGAGCGUUAAUCGGAAUUACUGGGCGUAAAGCGUGCGCAGGCGGUUUUGUAAGCCAGAUGUGAAAUCCCCGGGCUUAACCUGGGAAUGGCAUUUGGGACUGCAAGGCUCGAGUGCGGCAGAGGAGACUGGAGUUCCUGGUGUAGCAGUGAAAUGCGUAGAUAUCAGGAGGAAUACCGAUGGCGAAGGCAGGUCUCUGGGCUGACACUGACGCUCAUGCACGAAAGCGUGGGGAGCAAACAGG
RNAcentral lists this ribosomal RNA (253 nucleotides) under uncultured bacterium. Its description in RNAcentral is "partial 16S ribosomal RNA". It matches the Rfam family "Bacterial small subunit ribosomal RNA", at positions 524 to 776 of the family's 1533-position model. The record is from RNAcentral.